AUGAACCAUGUAGAUGUAUGCUCCCGCUUUCAUGGAUUGUCCGUAGUGCUCGUUGAGCAAACUCCUAUUUUUGUUGCUGCUGCCGCUGCACUCAAGGUAGCAACAGCAAAGGCAAAGAAGGAUGGUAGGUCGAACAACAUGAAGUGGCAGUCGUUCAUGUCCACUUUCGUGCUGAACAAGAUGUGUGAGCUCAUCUCUAGUGGAGUUAGGACUGACAAGGGCUUCAAGGAGGUGCACUUGAACACCGUUGUGAAGCAGGUGUUCGAGUUCUGUGGGCAGGAGGUGUCCACCACCCGGGUGUACAACCACCUGAGGAAAGUGGAGAGGUCAAUGGAUCCAAGUGUCCAAACUGAGAGACCUUAG
Molecule: ribosomal RNA, 363 nt
Filed under: Triticum aestivum (bread wheat)
Lineage: Eukaryota; Viridiplantae; Streptophyta; Magnoliopsida; Poales; Poaceae
Description: partial small subunit ribosomal RNA
Source: RNAcentral